GAGAAAAAGCCACAUUAAGUUCCGCCCCUCUGACACGAUUGGUCAGAACAAAGAGGCGCCGCCCACCUGAGCUCCCGCCCCUCUUUAAAGGGGUCGGACCGGCAACAUGUGACUCGAUUACAGCGUGCGAGUAAAAACGGGAAAGAAGAACAUUCCAUCAGGAAUGAGGAGAAACUGGAGGAGAGGAACGAAAGAAAGAGAGAAAGGUGGAGAUAUAAUGAAGGCAGAUGAGAGGUUUCCGCUGCACGAAUGGUGAGAGGGUGAAAUUCCUCAACACUCCAGAGCGGAUUCACUGGGAAGGAAGAGAAAGAACAUGAGAAGUGGAAACCAGAAGGUUUGCAAACAGGCUGCAGCACAGGAGCGGAGCAGCACAGAUGCUGCAGAGGUCUCCACAUCGAGGCGUCC
Molecule: long non-coding RNA, 405 nt
Organism: Sinocyclocheilus anshuiensis
Lineage: Eukaryota; Metazoa; Chordata; Actinopteri; Cypriniformes; Cyprinidae
Exons: 3
Source: RefSeq, a predicted model, not a curated record